This 465-nucleotide ribosomal RNA is filed under the name Vreelandella stevensii. RNAcentral describes it as "partial 16S ribosomal RNA". It matches the Rfam family "Bacterial small subunit ribosomal RNA", at positions 338 to 795 of the family's 1533-position model. The record is from RNAcentral. Lineage: Bacteria; Pseudomonadati; Pseudomonadota; Gammaproteobacteria; Oceanospirillales; Halomonadaceae.
CCUACGGGUGGCAGCAGUGGGGAAUAUUGGACAAUGGGCGAAAGCCUGAUCCAGCCAUGCCGCGUGUGUGAAGAAGGCCUUCGGGUUGUAAAGCACUUUCAGUGGGGAAGAAAGCCUUGGGGCUAAUACCCUCGAGGAAGGACAUCACCCACAGAAGAAGCACCGGCUAACUCCGUGCCAGCAGCCGCGGUAAUACGGAGGGUGCGAGCGUUAAUCGGAAUUACUGGGCGUAAAGCGCGCGUAGGCGGUCUGAUAAGCCGGUUGUGAAAGCCCCGGGCUCAACCUGGGAACGGCAUCCGGAACUGUCAGGCUAGAGUGCAGGAGAGGAAGGUAGAAUUCCCGGUGUAGCGGUGAAAUGCGUAGAGAUCGGGAGGAAUAACAGUGGCGAAGGCGGCCUUCUGGACUGACACUGACGCUGAGGUGCGAAAGCGUGGGUAGCAAACAGGAUUAGCUACCCCGGUAGUC